AUUGAACGCUGGCGGCAGGCCUAACACAUGCAAGUCGAACGGUAACAGGAAGCAGCUUGCUGCUUCGCUGACGAGUGGCGGACGGGUGAGUAAUGUCUGGGAAGCUGCCUGAUGGAGGGGGAUAACUACUGGAAACGGUGGCUAAUACCGCAUAAUGUCGCAAGACCAAAGAGGGGGACCUUCGGGCCUCUUGCCAUCGGAUGUGCCCAGAUGGGAUUAGCUUGUUGGUGGGGUAACGGCUCACCAAGGCGACGAUCCCUAGCUGGUCUGAGAGGAUGACCAGCCACACUGGAACUGAGACACGGUCCAGACUCCUACGGGAGGCAGCAGUGGGGAAUAUUGCACAAUGGGCGCAAGCCUGAUGCAGCCAUGCCGCGUGUAUGAAGAAGGCCUUCGGGUUGUAAAGUACUUUCAGCGGGGAGGAAGGGAGUAAAGUUAAUACCUUGGCUCAUUGACGUUACCCGCAGAAGAAGCACCGGCUAACUCCGUG
This 490-nucleotide ribosomal RNA is filed under the name uncultured bacterium. RNAcentral's name for it is "partial 16S ribosomal RNA". It matches the Rfam family "Bacterial small subunit ribosomal RNA", at positions 30 to 507 of the family's 1533-position model. The record is from RNAcentral.